GCUGGGAUAGCUCAGUGGGUAGAGCAAGAGACUCUUAAUCUCAGGGUCAUUGGUUCAAGACCCAUGUUCCUGUA
Podarcis lilfordi (Lilford's wall lizard) is the source of this 74-nucleotide non-coding RNA. The record is from the annotation of a GenBank genome assembly. NCBI's taxonomy places the organism in Eukaryota, Metazoa, Chordata, Lepidosauria, Squamata, Lacertidae.